This 487-nucleotide ribosomal RNA is filed under the name uncultured bacterium. RNAcentral describes it as "bacterial SSU rRNA". It matches the Rfam family "Bacterial small subunit ribosomal RNA", at positions 28 to 507 of the family's 1533-position model. The record is from RNAcentral.
GAUGGACGCUAGCGGCAGGCCUAACACAUGCAAGUCGAGGGGUAACAUAGAAAAGCUUGCUUUUCUGAUGACGACCGGCGCACGGGUGCGUAACGCGUAUACAACCUACCUUUUAGCGGGGAAUAGCCCAGGGAAACUUGGAUUAAUGCCCCAUAGUAUAUAGACUUCUCCUGAAGUUUAUAUUAAACAUUUAUGGCUAUUAGAUGGGUAUGCGUCCUAUUAGUUAGUUGGUAAGGUAACGGCUUACCAAGGCAGCGAUAGGUAGGGGUCCUGAGAGGGAGAUCCCCACACUGGUACUGAGACACGGACCAGACUCCUACGGGAGGCAGCAGUGAGGAAUAUUGGACAAUGGGCGAGAGCCUGAUCCAGCCAUGCCGCGUGCAGGAAGACUGCCCUAUGGGUUGUAAACUGCUUUUACAGAGGAAGAACCACCCCCACGUGUGGGGGUUUGACGGUACUCUGCGAAUAAGGAUCGGCUAACUCCGUG